RNAcentral lists this ribosomal RNA (483 nucleotides) under uncultured bacterium. RNAcentral describes it as "partial 16S ribosomal RNA". It matches the Rfam family "Bacterial small subunit ribosomal RNA", at positions 30 to 507 of the family's 1533-position model. The record is from RNAcentral.
AUUGAACGCUGCGGCAGGCCUAACACAUGCAAGUCGCGCGGAUGAAGGGAGCUUGCUCCUGGAUUCAGCGGCGGACGGGUGAGUAAUGCCUAGGAAUCUGCCUGGUAGUGGGGGAUAACGUCCGGAAACGGGCGCUAAUACCGCAUACGUCCUGAGGGAGAAAGUGGGGGAUCUUCGGACCUCACGCUAUCAGAUGAGCCUAGGUCGGAUUAGCUAGUUGGUGGGGUAAAGGCCUACCAAGGCGACGAUCCGUAACUGGUCUGAGAGGAUGAUCAGUCACACUGGAACUGAGACACGGUCCAGACUCCUACGGGAGGCAGCAGUGGGGAAUAUUGGACAAAGGGCGAAAGCCUGAUCCAGCCAUGCCGCGUGUGUGAAGAAGGUCUUCGGAUUGUAAAGCACUUUAAGUUGGGAGGAAGGGCAGUAAGUUAAUACCUUGCUGUUUUGACGUUACCAACAGAAUAAGCACCGGCUAACUUCGUG